UGCUUUGCACAGGGGCAGUAUCAUAGCCGAUGAGGUUUAUCCAAGGUGUGUGUGAUUGUUGCUAAUUGGAAACUUUCCCAGUACCCUGCCAUGACAAAUUGAAAUGUAGUCAGCACUGGCAAUUUUUGACAGUCUCUACAGAGA
Small nuclear RNA from Saimiri boliviensis boliviensis (Bolivian squirrel monkey), 144 nucleotides. Its record names the gene U4. It matches the Rfam family "U4 spliceosomal RNA". From Rfam's summary of the family: U4 small nuclear RNA (U4 snRNA) is a component of the major U2-dependent spliceosome. The structure of U4 snRNA from yeast and human has been reported. U4 snRNA presents a k-turn RNA motif in the 5p-SL related to recognition of Snu13 protein. The record is from Ensembl. NCBI's taxonomy places the organism in Eukaryota, Metazoa, Chordata, Mammalia, Primates, Cebidae.